GGCCAAAUAUCAAAAACAAGUUCAGCAAGUUGAUUAUUGAAUAUACCCUCAUGUAUACACCGACCGAAAGAUGUCUGAAUUUUCCUUUCCAGAAAAUGGCUAACGCUGCCACAUUACCGAUAGAUCCUGUUACCACAAUAAUGGGUAAAAUAUAAACAUACAAUGAAGUUUCCAAUGUUUCAAAUAAGAUGUCCGACGUUUGAUUGAAGAUAACUCCUGAGUGAUUCCCUAAAAUGCACAUUGUUAGUUUUGGUAAAAAUUUCGCACAAAAUCAACUGUUUAUAAUCAGCCUUAUGAUAGAGUUACUUCCUUACGUGUCCAUCAACUCUCU
This 331-nucleotide long non-coding RNA is filed under the name Mytilus galloprovincialis (Mediterranean mussel). The record is from RNAcentral. Lineage: Eukaryota; Metazoa; Mollusca; Bivalvia; Mytilida; Mytilidae.